AGGACGAACGCUGGCGGCGUGGAUUAGGCAUGCAAGUCGAGCGGGUAAAUGAUCCCUUCGGGGUGAAACCAAGCGGCGAACGGGUGAGUAACACGUGAACAAUCUGUCCCUACAUUCCGGAUAAUAGAUCGAAAGGUCUUGUAAUACGGGGGAGGAUCGAUCUUUGGCAUCUUAGAUCGAGGGAAGGUGCAACGCAAGUUGUGCCGUGCAGGGAGGAGUUCGCGGCCUAUCAGGUAGUUGGUGGGGUAAUGGCCUACCAAGCCUACGACGGGUAGCUGGU
RNAcentral lists this ribosomal RNA (280 nucleotides) under uncultured bacterium. RNAcentral describes it as "partial small subunit ribosomal RNA". It matches the Rfam family "Bacterial small subunit ribosomal RNA", at positions 26 to 291 of the family's 1533-position model. The record is from RNAcentral.